UCUCCCCAACAGAUCAUCGCCAAUCACCACAUGCAGUCCAUAUCCUUCGCCUCAGGAGGCGAUCCGGACACUGCUGAAUACGUUGCCUACGUCGCCAAAGAUCCAGUCAAUCAAAGAGCGUGCCACAUAUUGGAGUGCUCCGAUGCGAUGGCCCAGGAUGUCAUCAGCACCAUUGGACAAGCCUUUGAGCUGCGGUUCAAACAGUACUUGAAGAACCCUCCCAAACUGGUCACGCCCCACGACAGGUAAAAGGAGCCAGAUGCGGGGUCCCCGCGUUUGCCGUUGCGCUCACAUUUCCGAAGCCCCCUCCGCUGAACACCGGAGAGGCGACCGGUGG
Molecule: long non-coding RNA, 337 nt
Organism: Rhincodon typus (whale shark)
Lineage: Eukaryota; Metazoa; Chordata; Chondrichthyes; Orectolobiformes; Rhincodontidae
Exons: 3
Source: RefSeq, a predicted model, not a curated record